RNAcentral lists this ribosomal RNA (796 nucleotides) under uncultured bacterium. RNAcentral describes it as "bacterial SSU rRNA". It matches the Rfam family "Bacterial small subunit ribosomal RNA", at positions 59 to 848 of the family's 1533-position model. The record is from RNAcentral.
CAGUCGAGGGGCAGCAUCAUCAAAGCUUGCUUUGAUGGAUGGCGACCGGCGCACGGGUGAGUAACACGUAUCCAACCUGCCGACAACACUGGGAUAGCCUUUCGAAAGAAAGAUUAAUACCGGAUGGCAUAGUUAUUCCGCAUGGGAUAAUUAUUAAAGAAUUUCGGUUGUCGAUGGGGAUGCGUUCCAUUAGGCAGUUGGCGGGGUAACGGCCCACCAAACCUACGAUGGAUAGGGGUUCUGAGAGGAAGGUCCCCCACAUUGGAACUGAGACACGGUCCAAACUCCUACGGGAGGCAGCAGUGAGGAAUAUUGGUCAAUGGACGAGAGUCUGAACCAGCCAAGUAGCGUGAAGGAUGACUGCCCUAUGGGUUGUAAACUUCUUUUAUACGGGAAUAAAGUGAGCCACGUGUGGCUUUUUGUAUGUACCGUAUGAAUAAGGAUCGGCUAACUCCGUGCCAGCAGCCGCGGUAAUACGGAGGAUCCGAGCGUUAUCCGGAUUUAUUGGGUUUAAAGGGAGCGUAGGCGGGUUGUUAAGUCAGUUGUGAAAGUUUGCGGCUCAACCGUAAAAUUGCAGUUGAUACUGGCGACCUUGAGUGCAACAGAGGUAGGCGGAAUUCGUGGUGUAGCGGUGAAAUGCUUAGAUAUCACGAAGAACUCCGAUUGCGAAGGCAGCUUACUGGAUUGUAACUGACGCUGAUGCUCGAAAGUGUGGGUAUCAAACAGGAUUAGAUACCCUGGUAGUCCACACAGUAAACGAUGAAUACUCGCUGUUGGCGAUAUACAGUCAGCGGCC